Non-coding RNA from Triticum aestivum (bread wheat), 104 nucleotides. Lineage: Eukaryota; Viridiplantae; Streptophyta; Magnoliopsida; Poales; Poaceae. The record is from Rfam.
GAAAUACUCCCUCCGUUCCAAAUUACUUGUCGCAGAAAUGGAUGUAUAUAAAACUAUAUACAUCCAUUUUUGCGACGAGUAAUUUGGAACGGAGGGAGUAACUU